AUGGAGAAGAACUCCCACUUCAAGGACUUGCAAGCGCUUGGCCCCCUGGAAAUCAUCCGUGCCCAGCUGGAGGUGGAAGGUAGCUUCGACGAUGCAGUUUCUGGCUGCGAAUACGCCUUCCUUGUCGCUGCUUCAAUGAACUUCAGGUCAGAAGAUCCUGAGAGAGAUCUGAUUGAACCCGCCGUCCAAGGAACACUCAACGUGAUGAGGUCGUGCGUGAGAGCAGGGACAGUGAAGCCGGUGAUCCUAACAUCGUCGGACGCCGGCGUGUCCAGGAGGCCGCUGCAGGGCGGCAGCCACGUGUUGGACGAGGGCUCCUGGUCAGACGUCGAAUACCUCAGAGCCAAUAAGCCACCAACUUGGGCCUACGCGGUCUCCAAGGUGCUUCUAGAGAAGGCGGCGAGUGAAUUCGCAGAGGAGAACAACAUCAGCCUUGUCACCGUGUUGCCGGUGUUCACCGUGGGCACGGCGCCUGUAUCUAACGCCGGAACCAGCGUUCCCGUCAUCCUCUCCAUGUUGUCCGGCGACGAGGCAAAGCUGCAUGGCCUGAUGGUCCUGCAAUCAGUCAAGGACUGCGUGGGGAUUAGCCACGUCGACGACCUCUGUCGCGCCCAGGUGUUCGUCGCGGAGAAUGAGUCCUCGUCGGGUAGGUACAUCUGCUGCAAUCACAACACUACUGUCUUGCAGCUCGCCAGUCUCCUGGCAGAGAAGUACCCACAAUACAACGUGAAACCUGUACGCUUUGAUGGAUCCUGCAAGAAGCCAAGAGUGUGUGUCUCAUCAAAGAAACUCAUCGGGGAAGGGUUCGUGUACAAGUAUGAUGACCUGGGUGAAAUCUUCGAUGACCUCGUCAAGAAUGAAAAGGAUCUUCACGCACCGGAUCGUCUAUUGCUCAUUGUUAUCAUUGACUGGGCAUACGGGGUGUCGAAGGUGCUUCUGGAGAAGGCAGCGAGCCAAUUUGCAGAGGAGAAUGGCAUCAGCCUCGUCACCGUGUUGCCGGUGUGCACAUUGGGCGCGGCGCCGGUCUCCAAAGCAAGAUCCAGCGUUCCGGCCGUCCUCUCCUUGUUGUCCGGUGACGAGGAGCAGCUGGCCAUCCUGGAAGGCGUGCAGUUAGUCACCGGUUCUAUGUCGAUAGUCCACGUGGAGGAUGUCUGUCGCGCCGAGGUGUUCGUGGCGGUGAACGAGUCCUUAUUUGUUGGAUGCCCUACGGAACCGAGAGUGUGCAUGUCGUAUCAGAAGCUCGUUGGAGAAGGGUUUAUCUUCAAGCACGAGAGCCUAGGUGAGAUAUUCGACGACGUUGUCGAGUACGGUAGCACCACAGGGAUUUUGCGUGAUUGA
This 1338-nucleotide ribosomal RNA is filed under the name Triticum aestivum (bread wheat). RNAcentral describes it as "partial small subunit ribosomal RNA". Lineage: Eukaryota; Viridiplantae; Streptophyta; Magnoliopsida; Poales; Poaceae. The record is from RNAcentral.